ACCUAGUUAAUUUUAUUAGUAGUUAUAUACUUAUCUUAAAGAUUAAGCUAUGUAUAUCUAAGUAUAAGUAAUUAUAUAGCAAAACUAUAAAUAGCUUAUUAUAUAAGUUAUUAUUUAUUUAAUAGUACCUUACUACUUAGAUAACUAUAGUAAUUCUAGAGCUAAUACAUACUAAAAAUCCUAACUUUAGAAGAAAUAUAUUUAUUAGAUUAAAAACUAAUACCCUUUAGGGCUUACUAGUAAUUUAUAAUAACUUCUUAAAUUACAUAGCCUUAUGCUAGCAAUAGUUUAUUUAAAUUUCUUUCUUAUUAACUUUUAAUACUAAAGUAGUAUUCUAGUAUAGUUAUAAUAGGUAACAGAGGGUUAAGGCUUAACCCUAGAGAAGAAGCCUAAGAAAUAGCUACUAUAUCUAAAAAAGGCAGUAGGCACGCAAAUUACCUAAUCCUAACACAGAGAGGUAGUAAUAAUAAAUACUAAUAUAGGGCUCUUUUAGGUCUUAUAAUUAAAAUAAGUAUAAUUUAAAUCUCUUAAUAAGAAAUAAUUAGAGAGUAAGUCUAGUGCUAGCAGCCAUAGUAAUUCUAGCUCUAAUAGCGUAUAUUAAAGUUAUUAUAGUUAAAAAGCUUAUAGUAAAACCUUAGGCCUAGCUAGCUAGUCUGUCUUACUAUAUACACUAGUCUAGCUAGGCCUUUCUCUCUAUAGAACCGCAUGCCCUUUACUAAGUAUGCUAAGGAAACAGGACUUUUACUUUAAAAAAAUUAGAGUGCUCUAGGCAGGCCUAUGCUUAAAUACAUUAGUAUAAAAUAAUAAAAUAAGACGUAUAGUUCUAUUUUGUUAGUUUCUAGGACUACUAUAAUAAUUAAUAAAGAUAGUUAGAGGCAUUAGUAUUUAAUUAUUAAAGGUAAAAUUCUUAGAUUUAUUAAAGACUAACUACUAUAAAAGUAUUUACUAAGGAUGUUUUUAUUUAUUAGGAACAAAAGUUAGAAAAUUAAAGAUAAUUAGAUACCGUUAUAGUCUUAACUAUAAACUAUACUAACUAAGGAUUAAACAAUGUUAUUUUUUAACUUAUUUAGCAUCUUAUAAGAAAUUAAAGUACUUAGGCUCUAGGGGGAGUAUAGUCAUAAGGCUAAAACUUAAAGAAAUUAACAAAAGGGCACCACUAGAGGUAAAGCCUGCAGCUUAAUUUAACUUAACAUAAAGAAACUUACUAGGUCUAGACAUAAUAAGGAUUAACAGAUUAAGAGCUCUUUCUUAAUUUUAUAGGUAGUAGUAUAUAGCCGUUCUUAUUUAGUAAAGUAAUUUAUCUACUUAAUUAUAAUAAUAAAUAAGACCUUAACCUACUAAAUAGCCUAUAUUACUUUAGUAGUACGCCAGCUUCUUAGAGAGACUAUUAGCUUAAGCUAAUAGAAGUUUAAGGUAAUAAUAGGUCUGUAAUACCCUUAGAUAUUCUAGGCUGUACACACGUUAUACUAACAAAGCUAGUAAGUACUCCCUUAGCCAGAAGGCCUAGGUAAUCUUAUUAAACUCUGUUAUACUAAAGAUAAAGUAUUAUAAUUAUUACUUUUUAAUAAGAAAUCCCUAGUAA
Molecule: ribosomal RNA, 1582 nt
Filed under: Colletotrichum tofieldiae
Lineage: Eukaryota; Fungi; Ascomycota; Sordariomycetes; Glomerellales; Glomerellaceae
Description: SSU rRNA
Rfam family: Eukaryotic small subunit ribosomal RNA
Source: RNAcentral